This 83-nucleotide transfer RNA is filed under the name Microbispora amethystogenes. RNAcentral describes it as "tRNA-Asp". The record is from RNAcentral. Lineage: Bacteria; Bacillati; Actinomycetota; Actinomycetes; Streptosporangiales; Streptosporangiaceae.
AGGCCGAGCUGCUAGCGGCCAAGCGCGGCUGUUGUCAGCAGCCGCGUUAGCAAGAGCGCUCCGUUGGAGCGGGGGUCGACCUC